Molecule: ribosomal RNA, 468 nt
Filed under: uncultured bacterium
Lineage: Bacteria
Description: partial 16S ribosomal RNA
Rfam family: Bacterial small subunit ribosomal RNA
Source: RNAcentral
GACGAACGCUGGCGGCGUGCUUAACACAUGCAAGUCGAACGGUCAAGCGCGAGCUUGCUGGCGCGAGCGAGUGGCGAACGGGUGAGUAACGCGUGAGGAACCUGCCCCUAAGUGUGGGACAACAGCUGGAAACGGCGGCUAAUACCGCAUAAGCGCACGGCCCGCCUUGGGGCGGUGGGAAAAGUGGUGCGGUUGGGUAUGGGCUCGCGGCGUCUCAGCUUCUUGGUGGGGUAGUGGCGGACCAAGGCGGCGACGGGUAGCCGGCCUGAGGGGGUGACCGGCCACGCUGGAACUGAAAUACGGCCCAGACUCCUACGGGACGCAGCAGUGCGGAAUAUUGCACUAUGGGAGGAAGCCUGAUGCAGCGACGCCGCGUGGGGGAUAGGGGGCUUCGGGUUGUAUACCACUUUCCGCUGGGAGGAAGCGAUAGUGACGGUACCCGACAAAGAAGCAACGGCUAACUACGUG